CUGGAGACAUUCAGGAAGCAAGCCCAGGAGUCUGCUGGAGCAGGGGACAUUGGCAGAGGAGAAGAGAGAAGGGGAGGUCCUCCUGCAUUCCUUGGCUCAUGGGACCUUCUUUCAUCAUCGAAGUGCAUCACCCAAUCUGCUUCUGUCAUCACAUCACCGUCUCUUCUGACUCUGACUCCUUCUGCGUGUCUCAUAAAGAUCUUUGUGAUGACAUCCGGUCCACCCAGCCUCAUGAUGGUGUGACCUCGGGGAGGUGGAAGGCGGUGUGACCGGAAAGGGGCAGGCCGAGGAGCAGGUGUUUCAAAUCCUGGCGAGUUCAAUUUCUUCACCUGGGUGGCGGUUACGUGGGAGCGAUUUUUACAACGUCGUACUCCUGCAAAUCAAGAUGGAGCCUCUGGUUCACACUUUUCAUUUAUGUCUCCCCUUAAUGUGUGGGUUAAAGUGAAGAUGAUAUUCUGCCUAAGAACUGACAAAGGAAAACAGAGAAACGACAUUCUGAAAAUUUUUGCCUUUUUAAAAAAAAUUGUUCAGAUUCCGUGAGAAGACGUAAUAUUUUUAGCCUCUACGGAGAGGAAAAGCAGAGGCCUAGCCCCACAGUCACAGAGUGGAUCCCACUAAACCCCUAAGGAGAGUGUGUUACCCAGAUUAGGUUUCUCCACAAAGGACAAAAGGCCCUAAGUAGCAGCAUCCUCAACAACGGAGAAGCUGAAUUUCGUUCAUUUUUUUCUUCGACACGAAGAGUCUGGAGGUUGACUGUCUGUGUCUGAUAUAUGAUCACUUGCUCCACAAACUCCUCCAAGACUCGGACACCUUCUAGGUCACUGCUCUACCAUCCCUCAGGACCCUCGGGGUCCUCAAGAUCCUUUCGGGAGAUUUGUGAGAUCAAAAUAUAUGAUACUAAAAUGUUAUUUGCCUUUUUACUCUCAUUCUCUCAAGGGUGAGUAAACAGUGGAAUGUUCUAGAGGUUCCAUGAUCUCGUUGUUCUGGAGGCUCGUGGAAUAUGUGCUUGUGUGUACUUGUGUUUUAAAUUUUUCUGUUUUCAUUUCUAACACUAUAAAUAUCAAUAAAUAGAACCUACACAAGGAAAAACUUUUUGGUGAUCUUUAAGAAUGAUUGAGAGCGUAAAGCGGGUCCUG
RNAcentral lists this long non-coding RNA (1136 nucleotides) under Equus caballus (horse). Its description in RNAcentral is "lncRNA (ENSECAG00000045168.1)". The record is from RNAcentral. Lineage: Eukaryota; Metazoa; Chordata; Mammalia; Perissodactyla; Equidae.